ACUUUGAAAUGAGUUUGUUAUGCCGCCAACUCAGACCGCGAAUUUAUUCCAAUGUGAACGAGAAGUUUUUCGUGUUUUUUCUUCUUGUUAAUUUAUUUUCGAUAGAAAUUAAAAUGAACGUGCAAAACAAGUAACGAACAGUAUAUAUAUUUAACAGAAUACAUGGAGACUAAUGGAGAUUUAUCCAGGCCCGUUGGUGGUGCCCAAGGGCGCCUUCGAUCUGAAAGGCUAUGGGACACCCUGACCCAUAGCCUUAAUGCCAUAGGCAAUGGCUCAACAAAAACAACCAAAAAGUGGAAAAAAGUUUGGGCAGAUCUAAAGUCAAAAACUAAGAAGAAGGGGCUUAGAAUCCGCCUA
Long non-coding RNA from Aricia agestis (brown argus), 357 nucleotides. RefSeq lists it as uncharacterized. Lineage: Eukaryota; Metazoa; Arthropoda; Insecta; Lepidoptera; Lycaenidae. The transcript is spliced from 3 exons. The record is from RefSeq and is a predicted model, not a curated record.